Molecule: ribosomal RNA, 271 nt
Filed under: uncultured prokaryote
Description: partial 16S ribosomal RNA
Rfam family: Bacterial small subunit ribosomal RNA
Source: RNAcentral
GACGGAGGAGGCAAGCGUUAUCCGGAAUGAUUGGGCGUAAAGAGUCCGUAGGUGGAACUUCAAGUCCAUUGUCAAAGAGCAAAGCUUAACUUUGUAAAGGCAGUGGAAACUGAAGAACUAGAGAGGGGCAGGGGCAAAGGGAAUUCCUGGUGUAGCGGUGAAAUGCGUAGAGAUCAGGAAGAACACCGGUGGCGAAAGCGCUUUGCUGGGCCCAUUCUGACACUGAGGGACGAAAGCUAGGGGAGCGAAUGGGAUUAGAUACCCUUUGUCC